AGAGUUUGAUCCUGGCUCAGGAUGAACGCUGGCAGUAUGCUUAACACAUGCAAGUCGUACGGAUAUGUUUCGACAUAUGAGUGGCGGACGGGUGAGUAACACGUAAGAAUCUACCGAAAGGAGAGGUAUAACCUUUGGAAACGAUGGGUAAUCCCUUAUAUGACGAAAGUUGAAACGGACUUCGGUUCGCCUUUUGAUGAGCUUGCGUCUGAUUAGCUAGUUGGUGAGGUAAUGGCUCACCAAGGCGAUGAUCAGUAGCUGGUUUGAGAGAAUGAUCAGCCACACUGGGACUGAGACACGGCCCAGACUCCUACGGGAGGCAGCAGUGAGGAAUUUUUCGCAAUGGGCGCAAGCCUGACGGAGCAAUACUGCGUGGAGGAUGAAGGCUCGUGGGCUGUAAACUCCUUUUCCAUGAGAAGAAGUUCUGACGGUAUCAUGGGAAUAAGCAUCAGCUAACUGCGUGCCAGCAGCUGCGGUAAUACGUGGGAUGCAAGCGUUAUCCGGAUUUAUUGGGCGUAAAGCGUCUGUAGGUGGUUUCGCAAGUUUGUUGUUAAAUCGUUCAGCUUCACUGAAUACAAGCAGCAAAAACUAUGAAACUUGAGUGUGGUAGAGGAAAAGGGAAUUCCCUGUGGAGCGGUGAAAUGCGUAGAGAUAGGGAAGAACACCAAAGGCGAAAGCACUUUUCUGGGCCUGCACUGACACUGAGAGACGAAAGCUAGGGGAGCGAGUAGGAUUAGAUACCCU
RNAcentral lists this ribosomal RNA (744 nucleotides) under uncultured phototrophic eukaryote. Its description in RNAcentral is "bacterial SSU rRNA". It matches the Rfam family "Bacterial small subunit ribosomal RNA", at positions 8 to 788 of the family's 1533-position model. The record is from RNAcentral.